UACGUAGGGGGCUAGCAUUGUCCGGAUUUAUUGGGCGUAAAGAGCGUUUAGGCGGCCAUGUAGGUCCGGUGUGAAAACUCGAGGCUUAACCUCGAGAUGUCAUCGGAAACCAUUUGGCUAGAGUCCGGUAGAGGAGCGUAGAAUUCCUGGUGUAGCGGUGAAAUGCGCAGAUAUCAGGAGGAAUACCAGCGGCGAAGGCGGCGCUCUGGGCCGGUACUGACGCUGAGACGCGAAAGCGUGGGUAGCAAACAGG
Molecule: ribosomal RNA, 253 nt
Filed under: uncultured bacterium
Lineage: Bacteria
Description: partial 16S ribosomal RNA
Rfam family: Bacterial small subunit ribosomal RNA
Source: RNAcentral